ACUCAAAGGAAUUGACGGGGGCCCGCACAAGCGGUGGAGUAUGUGGUUUAAUUCGACGCAACGCGAAGAACCUUACCAGUCCUUGACAUGUCUAGUAUGGGUUAUGGAGACAUAACCCUUCGGUUCGGCCGGCUAGAACACAGGUGCUGCAUGGCUGUCGUCAGCUCGUGUCGUGAGAUGUUGGGUUAAGUCCCGCAACGAGCGCAACCCUCAUCUUUAGUUGCCCACGGGUCAGGCCGGGCACUCUAAAGAAACCGCCGGUGACAAGCCGGAGGAAGGCGGGGAUGACGUCAAGUCCUCAUGGCCCUUACGGACUGGGCUACACACGUACUACAAUGGUGGUGACAGUGGGCUGCGAAGGAGCAAUCCGGAGCCAAUCCCCAAAAACCAUCUCAGUUCAGAUUGCACUCUGCAACUCGAGUGCAUGAAGUUGGAAUCGCUAGUAAUCGCAGAUCAGCACGCUGCGGUGAAUACGUUCCCGGGCCUUGCACACACCGCCCGU
RNAcentral lists this ribosomal RNA (502 nucleotides) under uncultured bacterium. RNAcentral describes it as "partial 16S ribosomal RNA". It matches the Rfam family "Bacterial small subunit ribosomal RNA", at positions 899 to 1397 of the family's 1533-position model. The record is from RNAcentral.